UUAUGUAAUUAAUGUACUUAAGUAUGUCGUGGUACUUUUUUCUCCCAGCAGUGACUGCCAACGCAUAGAGAUGCCAGCUGCCUGUAAAGUUCCUAGAGCUGCUGGGAGAAUGAGUGGACAGUGGCACAAGGCUUUGCUGGCGUAUAAGAAUUGGAUGUUGUGAACAUCAAAAAAAGGCAGACAAAAGAAGAAAGUGUACAGUAUUGACUAGGGGGUUUUGAGAUGAGGUCUUUACAUAGCCCUGGCCUUGAACUCAACCAUCUUGCCUCCCAAGUGCUGGGGAUUUUGUGCCAAUAAGGCCAACUAUGAUACUAAUUUUUAUUAAUGGAUAGAACAUGAGAUCACUGCUUCUUAAAAAGGGUUGUUGAAUUUCUUGUAAUAAGUGAAAAUAUUCAUUCUUUAAUUUUAUUGGAUUUAAGAUGUGGAUGGAAUUAAAGCUGUGUGGAAGUUUGCAGUGAUUCAUGAGAAUCUAGUAGGAUUAUGGCAAUCUGUCUAGUGAACAGAAUUCAGCAAUUUUGUGACUUGUAAAAUUUGUUACAAGCUACAUUUCCUCAUCCAGCAGGGCUUACUGUGAAUGCUGCAAUAAACUGUUCGGUUGCACCAACAGAUAA
Long non-coding RNA from Peromyscus eremicus (cactus mouse), 611 nucleotides. RefSeq lists it as uncharacterized. The transcript is spliced from 2 exons. The record is from RefSeq and is a predicted model, not a curated record. Lineage: Eukaryota; Metazoa; Chordata; Mammalia; Rodentia; Cricetidae.